AAUAGAUACCCUGGUAGUCCACGCCGUAAACGGUGGGCGCUAGGUGUGGGGAACAUUCCACGUUCUCCGUGCCGCAGCUAACGCAUUAAGCGCCCCGCCUGGGGAGUACGGCCGCAAGGCUAAAACUCAAAGGAAUUGACGGGGGGCCCGCACAAGCGGCGGAGCAUGCGGCUUAAUUCGAUGCAACGCGAAGAACCUUACCUAGGCUUGACAGUUGGGGAAAUCUGGCAGAGAUGUCAGGUCCGCAAGGGCCCCAAAACAGGUGGUGCAUGGCUGUCGUCAGCUCGUGUCGUGAGAUGUUGGGUUAAGUCCCGCAACGAGCGCAACCCUCGUCGUAUGUUGCCAGCGGAUAAUGCCGGGGACUCAUACGAGACUGCCGGGGUCAACUCGGAGGAAGGUGGGGAUGACGUCAAGUCAUCAUGCCCCUUAUGUCUAGGGCUGCACGCAUGCUACAAUGGCCGGUACAAAGGGCUGCGAUACCGUAAGGUGGAGCGAAUCCCAAAAAGCCGGUCUCAGUUCGGAUUGGGGU
This 529-nucleotide ribosomal RNA is filed under the name uncultured bacterium. RNAcentral's name for it is "bacterial SSU rRNA". It matches the Rfam family "Bacterial small subunit ribosomal RNA", at positions 777 to 1304 of the family's 1533-position model. The record is from RNAcentral.